This 301-nucleotide ribosomal RNA is filed under the name uncultured bacterium. RNAcentral describes it as "partial 16S ribosomal RNA". It matches the Rfam family "Bacterial small subunit ribosomal RNA", at positions 509 to 807 of the family's 1533-position model. The record is from RNAcentral.
CAGUCGCCACGGUAAUACGAAGGGUGCAAGCGUUAAUCGGAAUUACUGGGCGUAAAGCGUGCGUAGGCGGUUUGUUAAGUCUGCUGUGAAAUCCCCGGGCUCAACCUGGGAAUGGCAGUGGAUACUGGCAAGCUAGAGUGUGGUAGAGGAUAGUGGAAUUUCCGGUGUAGCAGUGAAAUGCGUAGAGAUCGGAAGGAACAUCUGUGGCGAAGGCGACUAUCUGGGCCAACACUGACACUGAGGCACGAAAGCGUGGGGAGCAAACAGGAUUAGAUACCCCCGUAGUCCCUGUCUCUUAUAC